This is a long non-coding RNA of Oncorhynchus tshawytscha (Chinook salmon), 375 nucleotides long. NCBI's taxonomy places the organism in Eukaryota, Metazoa, Chordata, Actinopteri, Salmoniformes, Salmonidae. The record is from Ensembl.
GGGACUAACUACAGCAGGGGGUUUAAACCUCUCCUCAGGGACUCCCUACAGCAGGGGGGGGUUUAAACCUCUCCUCAGGGACUCCUUACAGCAGGGGGUUUAAACCUCUCCUCAGGGACUCCUUAUAGCAGGGGGUUUAAACCUCUCCUCAGGGACUCCUUACAGCAGGGGGGUUUAAACCUCUCCUCAGGGACUCCUUACAGCAGGGGGUUUAAACCUCUCCUCAGGGACUCCCUACAGCAGGGGGUUUAAACCUCUCCUCAGGGACUCCUUACAGCAGGGGUUUAAACCUCUCCUCGGGGACUAACUACAGCAGGGGGGUUAAACCUCUCCUCAGGGACUCCUUACAGCAGGGGGUUUAAACCUCUCCUCAGG